UACGUAGGGUGCAAGCGUUGUUCGGAAUUACUGGGCGUAAAGCGUGCGUAGGUGGUUUGUUAAGUCUGAUGUGAAAGCCCUGGGCUCAACCUGGGAAUUGCAUUGGAUACUGGCAGGCUAGAGUGCGGUAGAGGAUGGCGGAAUUCCCGGUGUAGCAGUGAAAUGCGUAGAGAUCGGGAGGAACAUCUGUGGCGAAGGCGGCCAUCUGGACCAGCACUGACACUGAGGCACGAAAGCGUGGGGAUCAAACAGG
This 253-nucleotide ribosomal RNA is filed under the name uncultured bacterium. Its description in RNAcentral is "partial 16S ribosomal RNA". It matches the Rfam family "Bacterial small subunit ribosomal RNA", at positions 524 to 776 of the family's 1533-position model. The record is from RNAcentral.